RNAcentral lists this ribosomal RNA (376 nucleotides) under uncultured organism. RNAcentral describes it as "partial 16S ribosomal RNA". It matches the Rfam family "Bacterial small subunit ribosomal RNA", at positions 527 to 897 of the family's 1533-position model. The record is from RNAcentral.
AGAGGGUGCGAGCGUUAAUCGGAGUUACUGGGGCGUAAAGGGCGCGUAGGCGGUUAUUUAAGUCAGUUGUGAAAUCCCAGGGGCUCAACCUUGGGAACUGCAAUUGAUACUGUGUAACUAGAGUCGAAGAGAGGGAAGCGGAAUUUCCGGUGUAGCGGUGAAAUGCGUAGAUAUCGGAAGGAACACCUGUGGCGAAGGCGGCUUCCUGGCUUCAGACUGACGCUGAGGCGCGAAAGCGUGGGGAGCGAACAGGAUUAGAUACCCUGGUAGUCCACGCUGUAAACGAUGAGUACUAGCUGUUGGUGGGCAUUGUUCCAUCAGUAGCGCAGCUAACGCACUAAGUACUCCGCCUGGGGAUUACGGCCGCAAAGGCUAA